Molecule: unclassified non-coding RNA, 259 nt
Filed under: Glomeraceae sp.
Lineage: Eukaryota; Fungi; Glomeromycota; Glomeromycetes; Glomerales; Glomeraceae
Description: partial contains 5.8S ribosomal RNA and internal transcribed spacer 2
Rfam family: 5.8S ribosomal RNA (bases 1-71)
Source: RNAcentral
GUGAAUCAUCGAAUCUUUGAACGCAAAUUGCACUCCCUGGUAUUCCGGGGAGUAUGCCUGUUUGAUGGUCGUUAGAUUAAAAAAUCGAGGAGUCGCUUUUUUUUUUAAGGGUGAUCGUGUUGGAUUUGAGUAUUCUUUCAAAUUUUAAUUCAUGUUAAAGUGGCUUCAAAUUCAUCCAUCCGUUACGAUUAAAGCGUAUUUCAGAUCAAUUUUGAUCAAUAACGCGUGAUGACGUACAAUCCCAUGUAGUACGUUUGAU